Long non-coding RNA from Amaranthus tricolor (Joseph's coat), 2228 nucleotides. RefSeq lists it as uncharacterized. The transcript is spliced from 5 exons. Lineage: Eukaryota; Viridiplantae; Streptophyta; Magnoliopsida; Caryophyllales; Amaranthaceae. The record is from RefSeq and is a predicted model, not a curated record.
CAGUCCUCUUCCCCUCUUCGACACGUCAAUGCCGAUUUCUCGCAGAUGCUUCCACGUCAACCUCAACUGAGUUCUCUUCUUCUACCUACUCCAUUCAAGCCUAUUGUACUCCUUUUCUUUCCAUUUCCAACCUAUUGUAUUUCUUUUAAUUUCCCUUCAGUUUGAGAUUUUUCAAGGUACUCUUUUUUUAGGGUUUUUUUAAGGUAGUAAAUUUUAAGAACGGAAAUCGGAAGGAAGAAGCUGAGAAGCGGCCAGCAAAGGAGAUAAGACCGUGAGAAGGAGAUGACGCAUCACUUUAAUUGAUGCUUCCACGCCAACCUCAACUGAGUUCUCUUCUUCUACCUACUCCAUUGCAACCUAAUGUACCGCUUUUCUUGCUAUCUCCAACCUAUUGUACUUCUUUUAAUUUCCCUUCAGUUUGAGGUUUUUCAAGGUACUCUUAUUUUUUAGGGUUUUUUUAAGGUUGUAAAUUUUAAGAACGGAAACCGGAAGGAAGAAGCUGAGAAGCGACCAGCAAUGGAGAUAAGACCGUGAGAAGGAGAUGACGUAUCAGUUUAAUUGCAAAAUCAAGUGGCGGCUUUCACCGAACACGAACACCGCUUCUCAUGGUGGUUCUACAACCAUUACCGGUGUUCCUCUUCUUGUAUUUGUUGGUGUAAACAAACUAAGGAGGCGACUUUAUCGAAGAGCCCUUCUAAUAAUCGCGGGGCAGCAGACUUAGCCUCUUGAAGCGUUCUUUUAGCUGAUUACAGAUCGGAUCCAGUCGGGAAUAAUCGGGUUCGCAAUGUUGAUGAGAGUGCUAAGGAUGUCCUUUUGAGCUGAGAUUGUGGAAGCUUAUAGUUUGUAUUAGGAAUUUGUUUAAUGUAUAUUAGUUCCGAUUAGUUCUGAUUAUGUUGAUUAUAAUGGACUCGUAGUGAGUGGUAUGGUUACUUUAUGUUUAGAUUAGAUAUUUGGUUUGAGAUUUAGCUGUGUUGGUUUCGUAAUAGAGUUGGUGAUUCCUUUGCCCAGGUUUUGGGAUAUGAUUUAAGUUUCUUGGGAAAUAAUCCCCGUGACGACCCUGUUUACCCAGUCAACGGUAAGUCGGGUUGUUACAUCAAUACUCCCCCUCAAGUUAGGUCGUGGGAUCACCGAUGCCUAACUUGCAUAAAGUGCUAUUGAAGACCUGUGAUGAAACUGCUUUUGUGAGAAUGUCUGCUAGUUGGUCUUUAGAUCUAAUAAAGGGGAGAUGGAUGACCUUGCUUUCUAGUUUCUCCUUGAUAAAGUGUCGAUCGAUCUCUACAUGUUUCGUUCGAUCAUGUUGGACUGGAUUUUCGGAGAUGCUUAUUGCUGCUUUGUUAUCACAAUAUAGAAGGCUUGCCUGUGUCUGGUGAAAACCUAGCUCUCCUAGGAGUUUCCUAAUCCAUAGAAUCUCUGUAACUCCUUUUGCUAUCCCUCUGAAUUCUGCUUCAGCACUGGACAAAGCAACCACCUUCUUUUUCUUACUCUUCCAAGUGACUAGAUUACCCCUACAAGAGUGAAGUAUCCUGAAGUAGACUUCCUGUCAUCCCGAUCACCAGCCGAAUCUGCAUCUGUGUAACCAGUAAAAUCAAGAUUAUCAUUUUUUGAGUAGAAGACUCCUUUAUUACUGGUUCCCUUUAAGUAUCUCAGGAUCCUCAGGGCUGCUGCCAUGUGCUCCACUUAAGGUCGAUGCAUAAACUUGCUUACAAUCCCUACUGCGUAGGCAAUAUCUAGUCUCGUGUGGGAUAAGUAGAUCAGCUUUCCCACUAUCCGUCUAUAGCGAUCUUGAUCUGCCACUUCUGCCUCUUCAACAAUUUGUAGACCAUGAUUAGCUACCAUAGGAGUAUCUGCUGGCUUGCAGUCUAACAUGCCUAUUUCUGCUAAGAGAUCUAAGACGUACUUUCUCUGGUUGAUGAAUAUCCCCUUCCUUGAUCUUAGAACUUCUAUUCCUAGGAAGUAUUUCAGUUGUCCCAAAUCCUUCAUCUCAAAUUCUUGGAAUAAUUUGCUCCUGAGACGGUCAAUUUCCUUGGAGUCGUUUCCGGCAACCACCAAAUCAUCUACAUAAAUCACGAGGCAUGUAAUUUGUUUUCCACUCCGCCUGAGAAAUAGAUUAUGGUAUGAGUUGCUCAGUUUGUAGCCAAAUCUCUUCAUUGCUAUAGUGAAUCUCCCAAACCACGCUCUAGGGGACUGUUUCAAGCCGUAUAGUGCUCUUUUAAGUCGGCACCCCUCUC